Molecule: ribosomal RNA, 1305 nt
Filed under: uncultured bacterium
Lineage: Bacteria
Description: bacterial SSU rRNA
Rfam family: Bacterial small subunit ribosomal RNA
Source: RNAcentral
AACGUACGCUGGCGGCACGCCUAACACAUGCAAGUCGAACGAAGUAGCAAUACUUAGUGGCAGACGGGUGAGUAACAUGUAGGUAUCUGCCCUUUGGCCUGGAAUAACACGAGGAAACUUGUGCUAAUACCGGAUAAGUCUUUACGGAGAAAGCUUUAUGCACCAUUGGAUGAGCCUGCACUUGAUUAGUUUGUUGGUGGGGUAAUGGCCUACCAAGACUGUGAUCAAUAGCUGAUUUGAGAGGAUGAUCAGCCACAUUGGGACUGAGACACGGCCCANACUCCUACGGGAGGCAGCAGUGGGGAAUCUUGCACAAUGGAGGAAACUCUGAUGCAGCGAUGCCGCGUGAGUGAAGAAGGCCCUUGGGUUGUAAGCUCUUUCGUCGGGGAAGAAAUGACUGUACCCGAAUAAAGAAGGUCCCGGCUAACUUCGUGCCAGCAGCCGCGGUAAUACGAAGGGACCUAGCGUAGUUCGGAUUACUGGGCUUAAAGAGUUCGUAGGUGGUUGAAAAAGUUAGUGGUGAAAUCCCAGAGCUUAACUCUGGAACUGCCAUUAAAACUUUUCAGCUAGAGUAUGAUAGAGGAAAGCAGAAUUUCUAGUGUAGAGGUGAAAUUCGUAGAUAUUAGAAAGAAUACCAAUUGCGAAGGCAGCUUUCUGGAUCAUUACUGACACUGAGGAACGAAAGCAUGGGUAGCGAAGAGGAUUAGAUACCCUCGUAGUCCAUGCCGUAAACGAUGUGUGUUAGACGUUGGAAAUUUAUUUUCAGUGUCGCAGGGAAACCGAUAAACACACCGCCUGGGGAGUACGACCGCAAGGUUAAAACUCAAAUGAAUUGACGGGGACCCGCACAAGUAGUGGAGCAUGUGGUUUAAUUCGAAGAUACGCGCAGAACCUUACCAACACUUGACAUGUUCGUCGCGACUCUAAGAGAUUAGAGUUUUCGGUUCGGCCGGACGAAACACAGGUGCUGCAUGGCUGUCGUCAGCUCGUGUCGUGAGAUGUUGGGUUAAGUCCCGCAACGAGCGCAACCCUCACUUUUAGUUGCCAUCAUUAAGUUGGGCACUCUGAAAGAACUGCCAGUGAUAAGCUGGAGGAAGGUGGGGAUGACGUCAAGUCCUCAUGGCCCUUACGUGUUGGGCUACACACGUGCUACAAUGGUAUCUACAACAGGAAGCAAGACUGCGAAGUUAAGCAAAUCCCUAAAAGAUACCUCAGUUCGGAUUGCACUCUGCAACUCGAGUGCAUGAAGCUGGAAUUACUAGUAAUCGUGGAUCAGCGUGCCACGGUGAAUGCGUUCCCGGGUCU